RNAcentral lists this ribosomal RNA (685 nucleotides) under Streptomyces sp. M3_17. RNAcentral describes it as "bacterial SSU rRNA". It matches the Rfam family "Bacterial small subunit ribosomal RNA", at positions 98 to 797 of the family's 1533-position model. RNAcentral also lists the same sequence under 1 other name. Lineage: Bacteria; Bacillati; Actinomycetota; Actinomycetes; Kitasatosporales; Streptomycetaceae. The record is from RNAcentral.
GCGAACGGGUGAGUAACACGUGGGCAAUCUGCCCUUCACUCUGGGACAAGCCCUGGAAACGGGGUCUAAUACCGGAUACGACUGCGGAAGGCAUCUUCUGCGGUGGAAAGCUCCGGCGGUGAAGGAUGAGCCCGCGGCCUAUCAGCUUGUUGGUGGGGUAAUGGCCUACCAAGGCGACGACGGGUAGCCGGCCUGAGAGGGCGACCGGCCACACUGGGACUGAGACACGGCCCAGACUCCUACGGGAGGCAGCAGUGGGGAAUAUUGCACAAUGGGCGAAAGCCUGAUGCAGCGACGCCGCGUGAGGGAUGACGGCCUUCGGGUUGUAAACCUCUUUCAGCAGGGAAGAAGCGAAAGUGACGGUACCUGCAGAAGAAGCGCCGGCUAACUACGUGCCAGCAGCCGCGGUAAUACGUAGGGCGCAAGCGUUGUCCGGAAUUAUUGGGCGUAAAGAGCUCGUAGGCGGCUUGUCACGUCGGAUGUGAAAGCCCGAGGCUUAACCUCGGGUCUGCAUUCGAUACGGGCUAGCUAGAGUGUGGUAGGGGAGAUCGGAAUUCCUGGUGUAGCGGUGAAAUGCGCAGAUAUCAGGAGGAACACCGGUGGCGAAGGCGGAUCUCUGGGCCAUUACUGACGCUGAGGAGCGAAAGCGUGGGGAGCGAACAGGAUUAGAUACCCUGGUAGUCCA